CCUUCCGAUCUGCCCCAAGAAGAACCCAAGUUCUUCUGUGCUUGCCGGCGGCCUGCCCUGAAACGGACCUCCGGCACAGCUCGGAAUCCUGGGAGGCGAUUCUUCACCUGCUAUUCCGGGAAAGACAUUUGCAAAGUCUGGGUCUGGGAAGACCUCCUUCAGCAGUAUGUUGAGAAGAUGGUGGAUUACAACAAAUCAACAACACGUGACAUGGCGAUCCAAGAAUUAGCAAUAGUCAGGGAGAAACUCAAUGCAAGAGAGAAGCAGAUCAAUGAAUUGAAGGAAAAAUGCUGGUCCUAUGAAGACUAUAUCGCUGUUGGUCACUGAGCUGAAGUGUGCUAAAGAACGUCAUGUCGCAUUUGAAGAAUCAGCAAAAGCUAGGGAGGAAUUCAAGGCAAGAGACAAGCAGACUAACGAAUUGGCAAAAAUAGAUGAUCAUGAAGCUUUAGUUGCAACAUUUGGUGAUAUGGCAAUUUCCAAAGCCAAGUCAGUUACCAAGGAUGAUGGUGGAUCAUCUAGCUAAAUCUUGGACGGUUUUCUCUACCACAUUUACAUUAUAUUUUGGCUGCUGCUAUUUGUAGACCUUUCCCAUGCUAAAUUCUGUGUUCAAUAUGUUUCUCUAUUAAUCAAGGAGCUAUGGCAUGACUGUUUGUGAGAUGGCUGGCUGCUAUUGACCUGGCGACUCGAGGUGCCUUUCCAUGGCUGUUUCGACAUCAGAACUAUAAAGUUCCAUUGUUGGUCAAGUUAGCAUGUGCUGGUGGUCACUGCCGCAUUGUUUCAUGUAUUCUGUUUCUGUUGGUAUUUACCUUUAUUUUAGUAUCUGUUUGAGACUAUAUAUGUCCUUGUGUCUAAUUAGUCCUAUUAACAUUUGUACCAGGCUAUUUGGUAUGUCCUGAUGUGUGAUGUCUUAAGGCUAUUUCGUAUGUCCUGAUGUGUGAUGUACUAAGUAUUUGUGUGAAAGACUAUGUCCAGGUGCCCAUAUUAUGUAUCUUUAUGAGACUAUGUUUGUCAAAUGUAUUUCUGGUU
This is a long non-coding RNA of Panicum virgatum (switchgrass), 1026 nucleotides long. RefSeq lists it as uncharacterized. The record is from RefSeq and is a predicted model, not a curated record. The transcript has 3 exons. Lineage: Eukaryota; Viridiplantae; Streptophyta; Magnoliopsida; Poales; Poaceae.